UACGUAGGUGGCGAGCGUUAUCCGGAAUUAUUGGGCGUAAAGAGGGAGCAGGCGGCAGCUAAGGUCUGCGGUGAAAGCCCGAAGCUAAACUUCGGUAAGCCGUGGAAACCGAGCAGCUAGAGUGCAGUAGAGGAUCGUGGAACUCCAUGUGUAGCGGUGAAAUGCGUAGAUAUAUGGAGGAACACCAGUGGCGAAGGCGACGAUCUGGGCUACAACUGACGCUCAGUCCCGAAAGCGUGGGGAGCAAAUAG
RNAcentral lists this ribosomal RNA (251 nucleotides) under uncultured bacterium. RNAcentral describes it as "partial 16S ribosomal RNA". It matches the Rfam family "Bacterial small subunit ribosomal RNA", at positions 524 to 775 of the family's 1533-position model. The record is from RNAcentral.